UACCAGACUCCUACGGGAGGCAGCAGUGGGGAAUAUUGCACAAUGGGGGAAACCCUGAUGCAGCAACGCCGCGUGAAGGAAGACGGUUUUCGGAUUGUAAACUUCUGUUCUUAGUGAAGAAGAAUGACGGUAGCUAAGGAGCAAGCCACGGCUAACUACGUGCCAGCAGCCGCGGUAAUACGUAGGUGGCGAGCGUUGUCCGGAUUUACUGGGCGUAAAGGGAGCGUAGGCGGACUUUUAAGUGAGAUGUGAAAUACUCGGGCUCAACUUGAGUGCUGCAUUUCAAACUGGAAGUCUAGAGUGCAGGAGAGGAGAAUGGAAUUCCUAGUGUAGCGGUGAAAUGCGUAGAGAUUAGGAAGAACACCAGUGGCGAAGGCGAUUCUCUGGACUGUAACUGACGCUGAGGCUCGAAAGCGUGGGGAGCAAACAGGAUUAGAUACCCCAGUAACA
Molecule: ribosomal RNA, 450 nt
Filed under: uncultured bacterium
Lineage: Bacteria
Description: partial 16S ribosomal RNA
Rfam family: Bacterial small subunit ribosomal RNA
Source: RNAcentral